UACGAAGGGGGCUAGCGUUGCUCGGAAUCACUGGGCGUAAAGCGCACGUAGGCGGGUUCUUAAGUCAGGGGUGAAAUCCUGGAGCUCAACUCCAGAACUGCCUUUGAUACUGGGAAUCUCGAGUCCGGGAGAGGUGAGUGGAACUGCGAGUGUAGAGGUGAAAUUCGUAGAUAUUCGGAAGAACACCAGUGGCGAAGGCGGCUCACUGGCCCGGUACUGACGCUGAGGUGCGAAAGCGUGGGGAGCAAACAGG
Molecule: ribosomal RNA, 253 nt
Filed under: uncultured bacterium
Lineage: Bacteria
Description: partial 16S ribosomal RNA
Rfam family: Bacterial small subunit ribosomal RNA
Source: RNAcentral